GGAAUGUUUAAAUAAAUAUGAGUUGAUGUUCAUGGGCUGGAUAUGAGUUGAUGUUCAUGGGUUGAAUAUGGGUUAAUGUUUCUAUUCCCCAAUCUUCGUAUCGUCACCCAGCGUUCGUAAAUGUGUUAUCUUCACCUUCAAUUGCUUGAAGAUUUGGUGCGGCAUAUGAUUUACUUUUUAAGAUGAUGAAGUUGAUUUGUUGUUUGAUUUGUUGUAUUUUUAAGUUUUUGUUUUUCGUUGAAUUUCCAAUUCAACUUUUAUUUUUUAAUUUAAUUAAAAUAAUAAAUUAUUAUUAUUAUUCGCUCUCUUUUUAUCUUCUCCCUCUCACUGUCUAGCUUAGACCUCAGAUUCCUUUCUCCGCUUAAGCAAUCCAUUUCUUUCUCUUCAUUACAUUGCGUUCAAUCUGUUCGCAGAAAUUUGUUUCUGUUUCCUGCUGAGAAGAUAAUUGAUGGCCAUGGAUGCUUCAAAGGAUGCCUCGCCAAAGGAAUUGCCACUUGGGUUUGACGCAAGUACUGAGGAAGAGUAUGCUUCCCAGUCCAAGCUGCUUCAAGAGUUCACAAGUAUCCCCUGCAUUGACAACGCAUUGACUUUUAAGUCUAACAGCACAUUUGGCGCAGGAAUGGGCUCCCAGGCAAUGUUUUCAAUUAGCCAGGCAAAUCUUUUGGCUAACAAGAGGAGGAAAUACAUUCUAUCUGCGAGCAUUUCAAAAGAAAGUAGCAGUUCAGUUAACUUUCAGUGGGCCCCGUUUCCCAUUGAGAUGUCAGGGGUGUCUACGAUAGUUCCAUCGCCAUCAGGUUCAAAGCUUCUCGUAGUUAGGAAUCCUGAAAAUGAAUCUCCCACUCAUUUUGAAAUCUGGAGCCAAGGUCAGGUAGAAAAGGAAUUCCACAUCCCACAAUCUGUUCAUGGUUUAGUAUAUAUUGAUGGAUGGUGAGUUAUUAUGCGAAUCUAAUUUCUCCAUCUGUGACUUAAUUGAGUAUUUAGUUCUAGGCUGGUGUACUUUUCCUUUUUUAUAUACAUGUCUUUAAGUUGUAGAAGCCGUUCACUUUUAAGUUCUGUAAGUGUAACUGCUAACAGCAUCGGCAGUGGUUGUAGGAGUACUUGGUUAAUGUAUUUUCACAUGUAAUCUUUGGAAUGGAGCCGCUGAAAUGCUUUGCUAUCGUAUAGGUUUGAGGGAAUAUCUUGGAACUGUGAUGAAACUCUCAUUGCUUAUAUUGCUGAGGAACCAUCUGCCGCCAAGCCUACUUUCUGUGGUCUAGGCUACAGAAAAGGCAGUGCUACUACAGAUAAGGACAGUUGUAGCUGGAAAGGUCAAGGAGAAUGGGAGGAGGAUUGGGGAGAGACCUAUGCAGGAAAAAGGCAGCCUGCGCUUUUUGUCAUUAACACCAGCAGUGGAGAGGUACAACCUGUUAAAGGAAUUGCCAAGUCUUUGAGUGUUGGCCAAGUUGUGUGGGCUCCAUCAACUGAUGGCUCGAAUCAGUAUUUAGUUUUUGUGGGUUGGUCAUCAGAUCCUAGAAAGCUGGGCAUAAAAUACUGCAGCAAUAGGCCCUGUGCAUUGUAUGCAGUUCAAGCACCAUUUUAUAAAUCAGAGGCCAAUUAUUUUGAAUUCAAAGGUAGUCCUAUUGAAGGUUCACCUGUACUCAAACUAACUCAAAGUAUAAAUAGUGCCUUCUUUCCAUUGUUCAGGUAUGCCACUCAGAUGCUUGAUUUUGGGGCUUCACUAUAGAAUACAAAUAUGUAGCGUGUCAUAAGUUCAUAACCCACGCAUAGAGCUAGUUCAAGCGUUGAAAAAAUUUUCAGAAUAUCUGUAGCUACAGCAAAUAUAUUUUUCUUGGAAAAUUGAAUUUCUCCUCAAGUUACUGGAUUUUAUUUUUCUGGUUCCUAUUCACCCAUUUGUUUUAUUGCUUUCCUGUGUGUUUGUUUGCAAGAAGUUCAGACACUUUCAGCAUCAGAUUCACUUAAUAAAAUUUAUACUAUUUAACCAGAACCCUUCAAGCUGAUUACAUGGCUAUUAUGCUUAUGUUUUUUUCACAUCCAGUCCAGAUGGAAGGUUCCUUGUGUUUUUGUCUGCAAAAAGUUCUGUAGAUUCUGGGGCACAUUCAGCAACCAAUUCACUUCACAAAAUUGAUUGGCCAGUUAAUGAACAGUUGAGCUUGCCUGCAAAAGUUGUUGAUGUGAUUCCUGUUGUGCAGUGCUCAGAGGAUGGUUGUUUCCCUGGACUUUAUUGUUCAGAAUUCCUUAGGAAUCCAUGGCUUUCUGAUGGAUCCACUAUGAUUUUAUCUUCAGUGUGGGGCAGCAGUCAAGUUUUACUUUCUGUGAAUGUGUUAAGUGGGGAUGUAAAAUGCAUUAGUCCUACUGACUCAAAGUUUUCUUGGAAUCUUCAUGCUCUGGAUGGGGACAACAUUAUUGCUGUAUCUAGCAGUCCAGUUGAUUUGCCUGGGAUCAGGUAUGGUUGUCUUGUUGAGAAGGCAACUAGAAAUACUACAUGGAAUUGGUUAGAUAUAUCGAGCCCAAUAUUCAGAUGCUCUGAGAAGGUGAGAUCCUUGCUCUCUUCUCGGCAGUUUGAUAUACUGAAGAUCCCAGUCAAGGAUGUUUCCAGCUGCCUAACAAAAGGAGCUGGCAAACCUUUUGAAGCUAUAUUCGUGUUCAAUUCCAAGGAGAAUGGCGCUUGUGAUCCACUAAUAGUAUUGCUUCAUGGAGGGCCAAAUGACGUCUCAGUGUCAAGUUUCUCAACGUCUUCGGCAUUUCUCUCUUCAAUAGGUUACAGCUUGUUGAUUGUAAAUUACAGGAUUUGGCGAGGAAGCAUUACAAUCUCUUCUGGGGAAAGCUGGGUCCCAGGAUGUCAAUGAUGUACUUACAGCUAUAGAUCAUGUCAUUGACAGGGGUCUUGCUAGCCCCUCUAGCAUAGCUGUGCUUGGUAUUUCCCAUGGUGGCUUUCUCACCACACACUUAAUUGGCCAGGCACCUGAUAAGUUUGCAGCAGCAGCUGCGAGAAAUCCUGUUUGUAAUCUAGCAUCAAUGGUUGGUACAACAGAUAUUCCUGAUUGGUGCUAUGUGCAAGUAUAUGGGACCAAGGGGAAAAAUAAAUUUACAGAAGCAGCUUCAACUGAGGACCUGGCUCUCUUUCACAGCAAGUCUCCUAUAUCACAUGUUUCAAAGGUAAUCUGGGCCAGUUUUCUAAUAUACUGUUCAUAGCUGAUCCUGGGUCUUCUGAUGGAAGGACUAAGUUUAAAAUAAAAACGCACAGAGUAAUCUAAAUAAAAUGAACGGCAAAAGGCCUUAGCAAACUGGUAUGGCUGCAUUUCAACUGUGAAAAUGAUUUAUGUAAAUAUGGUUUUCAAUGCUGCUGGACCACUAGAGAGGCUAUUCUAGCUAGAUUUACAAUGAUGCUUGUGCAUCCUACUUGCUUGUGGGCAGUUGUUAUAAUUGGCAGCUAUGGAUAUGCAUCGAUGCCAUUAAUACAAGAGGUUGCAUGAAUGCUUCUAUGGCUAUGCCAUGAGGAGAGAAAAGUUGUACUUUUGGUACAUGACAUUGGAACAAAAUACUGUUAAGGAAAACAUAAAGGUCAAGAAUUUAUGAGGUUUUUUAGCAUUGAAAAUCAAAUUUCUUUGGUUAUUAACGUAUAAGACCUGUGCAUGCUAUGAAGACACUAUCGAACCUUGUUGUUUUGGCGAUUUGUGCAGGUCAAAGCACCGACAAUCUUUCUUUUAAGUGCUGAGGAUCUUCGUGUUCCGAUGUCUAAUGGCUUCCAAGUAAGAUACUUGCCUUCUUCAAGUAUGUAUGAUCUAUGGCAAACAAUUUAUUUUAGUUCUACAGUUGAUAACUGUUUUCAGACCUUGGAUAGUUAUUCCAGUUGGCACGGCUGAAAAUCAUAAACAUGGAUUAGUGAGAAUUUUGUGGAUGUAAUGUUGUCAUAAUAUGAUGACAUUUUGGGAAUGUGCAGUAUGCACGGUCAU
RNAcentral lists this unclassified non-coding RNA (3953 nucleotides) under Hevea brasiliensis (rubber tree). Lineage: Eukaryota; Viridiplantae; Streptophyta; Magnoliopsida; Malpighiales; Euphorbiaceae. The record is from RNAcentral.